CGUGUAGGCGGUCGAGUAAGUCAGAUGUGAAAGCCCUCCGCUUAACGGAAGAAGUGCAUUUGAAACUGCUCGGCUGGAGUACGGGAGAGGAGAGUGGAAUUCCCGGUGUAGAGGUGAAAUUCGUAGAUAUCGGGAGGAACACCAGUGGCGAAGGCGGCUCUCUGGUCCGAUACUGACGCUGAGACGCGAAAGCGUGGGGAGCAAACAGGAUUAGAUACCCUGGUAGUCCACGCCGUAAACGAUGGGCACUAGGUGUAGGAGGUAUUGACCCCUUCUGUGCCGAAGCUAACGCAUUAAGUGCCCCGCCUGGGGAGUACGGCCGCAAGGCUAAA
RNAcentral lists this ribosomal RNA (332 nucleotides) under uncultured bacterium. RNAcentral's name for it is "bacterial SSU rRNA". It matches the Rfam family "Bacterial small subunit ribosomal RNA", at positions 568 to 898 of the family's 1533-position model. The record is from RNAcentral.